Molecule: ribosomal RNA, 498 nt
Filed under: uncultured bacterium
Lineage: Bacteria
Description: partial 16S ribosomal RNA
Rfam family: Bacterial small subunit ribosomal RNA
Source: RNAcentral
GACGAACGCUGGCGGCGUGCCUAAUACAUGCAAGUCGAGCGGACGAAUCGAAAGCUUGCUUUUGAUUCGUUAGCGGCGGACGGGUGAGUAACACGUGGGCAACCUGCCCUGUAGACGGGGAUAACACAGAGAAAUCGGUGCUAAUACCGGAUAACACGAAAUGUCGCAUGACGUUUCGUUGAAAGACGGCGCAAGCUGUCGCUACAGGAUGUGCCCGCGGCGCAUUAGCUAGUUGGUGAGGUAACGGCUCACCAAGGCGACGAUGCGUAGCCGACCUGAGAGGGUGAUCGGCCACACUGGGACUGAGACACGGCCCAGACUCCUACGGGAGGCAGCAGUAAGGAAUCUUCCGCAAUGGGCGAAAGUCUGACGGAGCAACGCCGCGUGAGCGAAGAAGGCCUUCGGGUCGUAAAGCUCUGUUGUUAGGGAAGAACAAGUAACGCAGUAACUGGCGUUACCGUGACGGUACCUAACGAGAAAGCCACGGCUAACUACGUG